CUUGAGCGAGCCCAGCCACAACGGCCUUUCGGGGUCGGGCCGUUGUCCGUAGACGGCGAUCAGGGCCUCGGCCUC
Non-coding RNA from Streptomyces sp. Amel2xC10, 75 nucleotides. It matches the Rfam family "ASpks TB sRNA". The record is from Rfam. NCBI's taxonomy places the organism in Bacteria, Bacillati, Actinomycetota, Actinomycetes, Kitasatosporales, Streptomycetaceae.